GCUACGGACUUACCCCCA
This 18-nucleotide transfer RNA is filed under the name Marchesinia robusta. Its description in RNAcentral is "partial tRNA-Leu". The record is from RNAcentral. Lineage: Eukaryota; Viridiplantae; Streptophyta; Jungermanniopsida; Porellales; Lejeuneaceae.